This is a non-coding RNA of Marmota flaviventris (yellow-bellied marmot), 1926 nucleotides long. The record is from RefSeq and is a predicted model, not a curated record. Lineage: Eukaryota; Metazoa; Chordata; Mammalia; Rodentia; Sciuridae.
UGCAGGUGUGGCCUCAUCUGCUCUUGCAGUUUACACUGAAUAUGUGUCAUUCCUUUAGAAGCACUUGGAAGGCAGGACCCUCGGUCUCUUACUGGAAAGAAUGAGAUUGAGAGCAGAGUUUGAAACUCAUCUCGCUGAGGGACAUUUUAAUCUACCUCCUCUACAACUGGAGCACGUAAUCCUGGAGCUGACUUCAUACUUACACUUCUGCAACAAGCACUGGUGAAACCAUGGACCCACUAGUUAGAAAAUGGACUUAGAAAUCUCACAAGCCUUCAAGAAAGAAUGCACCUGCUCCAUCUGCCUGAAGUACCUUAUGGACCCAGUCACCAUAGGCAGUGGCACAGCUUUUUUUUUACCCUUUCUCUGCCUUUCCUGGGAACAAGUCCAAACUCCUGCCUGUUUCCCUGUGUGCAGAGAGCCAUCUCAACAGAAAUAUGUCAAAAACAAUAUUCUUCUGAAGAAUUUGAUGUCCACUUCCAGAAAAGCCACUCUCAGGAAAUUCCUGAGCUCUAGCAAAAUGUGUGUGAUCUACAAAGAGACAAAGAUGAUCUUCAGUGAAGAGAACAAGCCCCUGCUGUGUUUGCUCUGCUCCAGCUCUCAGGAGCAAAGGGCUCAGGGACAUCCUUCUGUAGAAGGGGCUGCUGAGGAGUACCAGGAGUGAGUCAGUGCAGCUGCACAUGCCUCAUCCUAUAAAGCCAGCACUUUCUGCCCAGACCAUCAUUUGACUGAUAGCUCAACUGCUUCCAUGAAGCACAUCCAUGGGUUGAGAGGCAGAGAGAAUAUAUAUUUGGCAUAAAAGCUGUCUCUAUGUUUGUUACAGUUAUGGAGUCAGAGAGACAAAGUGAGGGAGAGAUGAUCACUCAGACUGAUCAGCUAAUUUUCAGAAACAUGGAUUCAAAGGCCUUGCAAGACUUCCAGAGUGCACUCACAUGCUCCAUUUGCAUGAAUUACUUCUUACAACCUGUUACCAUAGACUGUGAGAACACCUUUUGCUGACCCUGCCUCUGCCUCUGCUGGGAGGAAGCCCAAACACCAAUGUGCUUCCAGAAGUGUAGAGAAAUAGCAGAGAAAGUAGACUUCAAAACCAACAUUGUCCUCAAGAAGCUGGCUUUGCUUGCCAGAUAGGCCACACCUCACUCUCAGAGCAGCUGUGGGGGGCAGCUCUGCAGGACACACGGGGACAAAAAUGGGCUCUUCUGUGAAGUUGACAAGAACUUGCUCUUUGCACCUUGUUCUGAAUCACUCAAACACAUUUUUAACAGCUAUAGUCCAGCAUAAUGGGUGGCUGAGGAGUACAGGGUGAGUGAUGGUCAUGAAGCAACUUGGAAACUGAAGCAUCCAAAUAAGAGAGAAAGAUGAGGGCAUAUGACAGUGGGGCAGAUGAUCAUGCAGAUGGAGUUAGUGCUGUUUAGGUAUAAAUUUCAAGAUAUGAAUAACUUUAAAUGUUUCCCAGUUUGAUACUAUGAUCAUAACUAAGAUGAAUGCUCAUGAAGUAAAGUUCCCCUAGAAACACUGUCCAAAUAACAGGACAUGGUGGCCAUGCCAAUAAUCCUACCUAUUCAGCACAUAGAGGUAGGAGAAUCCCAUGUUUCAGGCAACUCUGGGCAACUUAGCAAGACAUUAUUCUUUUUUGGUUUGUGUGUUUAGGGGACUGAGGAUACUUCUCAUGGUAAAUGCUUAUCUACCAUACAUUUAACCUUGGGUUCAAUCUUCAGUACUGAAAAUAAAAAUAAACAUAUUGUCCAAAUAUGUGAAAUUCUGGCAGCAGUAGAUCAGAUGGGUAGCACUAGGAACACGGGCUUCUUUAAUUGCAAGCUGGACCCUUUCAUAGUGAGGUUAUGUAACAAGUGCCUUGUCAGGAAAUGGACUACAUUAUCUAGGAUUCCUUCAAAUUAUUAUUAUUAUUAUUAUUAUUAUUAUUAU